Arachis stenosperma is the source of this 2215-nucleotide long non-coding RNA. RefSeq lists it as uncharacterized. The transcript has 2 exons. The record is from RefSeq and is a predicted model, not a curated record. Lineage: Eukaryota; Viridiplantae; Streptophyta; Magnoliopsida; Fabales; Fabaceae.
CAGAAGGAAGAGGCUUAAAGGAAGUGGUGUUGUUAUUGUUGGAAGAAGAGAGAGAGAGGAGAGGGUAGUGACCGAGGGUUCUGAUAAUCUGAAAGAAGAUCUGAAAGAAGAAGGCCAGCCAGCUCAGCAGCGCUCUCCACACUUGCUGAGUCCGGUGCUGAGGCGCCGCCGAGUACACUUCCGCCGCCUGAGUCAACUCUCCCAUAACCACAACUACUACGACCGAGUCGUUUUAAUCUGGGAGAUGUGGUCAUGGUGGUGCUUUCGACGAGGUCUAGAGAGAGAAAGAGAAAGAGCGAUUAAAAGGAGGCUCAUUGGGUUUUCUUUCCCCUACGCGCAGUGGUGGCGCGUUUGAGAGAAAUGUUUACGUCUUACUGCUGCUAUUUAAAGUAGUUCAUUCAUUUGGUAAUUCGAUCCAAUCCUUUCAUUUGCAUACAAGGUACGGUAAUAAUUCUCUUUUAAUCGUAGAAGAUUCCAGUUGAAAAUUGAAAUAAUGAAAUUUUGAAUUAGUCAAAAUAUAUAUAUGAGAUAUUUUGACUUCUAUUAAAAUUAUUUUAGAUUAAUAUUAUCUUUUUAUUAAAAAAAAUUGUAUAACAAAAAAUUAGUAUUGUAAAGCUUUUAUUUAUGAUUUGUAGGUUUUAAACCUUUAAAAAAAAUUUUAAAUAAGAGUAACUAUGAUUACCACUAUCAUCAUCUUUUUUAUUAUUAUUAUUAUUAUUAUUUUAUUUUUAUUAUUUUAUUUAUCCAAUCAUAUCUUGAUAUCAUCAUUAUUUUUUGGGAAAAACUAUGCUUUACAAAUUCAUUAAACAAUAAAAUUAAAUUACGCGCUGCUUCACGUACGACGCGCUACAUCCCUUCUUCUUCUCCUUCUUUUUCGAUCGUUCUUUUCUCCUCCUUUCUCAUUGGUUUGUUCUUCAUCGUUGACGUUAGUUCCUCCACAUACUGUUACAGCACGUUUUUAUUGCACCUUCUUCUUCUUCUUGCUGCACAGUCUUCUUCCUCUUCCUCUUCUUCUUCUUGCUGCACGUUCUUCUUCCCCUUCCUCUUCUUCUUCUUCUUUUCUUUUGUUUCUUGCCUUCUCUUUCUCCUUCUUCAUUUACGUGCUUUUCUCUCUGUUUUCUUUCUUCGUUAUUCUCGAUUUCUAUUAUUUUUUGACAUCAAGCUCUGAAAUCGUUUUUGAAGAAGAAGAAGUAGUAGAAGAUGAGGAGGAGAAAGAGAAAGAGUUCUGAAUUAUGCAUGAUUUUGGGUGUAUUUCUUUAAAUCUUUUGGGUGUAUUUUCUGUAAUCUUUUGGGUGUAUUUUCUAUAAUCGUUUGGGUGAAUUUCUGUAACCGUUUGGGUGUAUUUCUGUAAUCUCUUGGGUGUAUUUUAUGUAAUCGUUUGGGUGUAUUUCUGUAAUGCUUGUCAUUUUUUCUGAAAUGAAAAAUACACCCAUAGAUAUCAGUAAGAUACACCCAUAUAUAUGAGUCAAAUACACCCAUAGAUAUCAGUCAGAUAUCACUCAAAUACACCCAAAGGGUUACAGAAAAUACACCCAAAGGAUUUAAGAAAAUACACCCAAAAUUCGUUGAAGUACAUCUUAUGCAUAAUUCAGAACUCUUUCUCUUUCUCCUCCUCAUCUUCUGCUGCAUCUUCUUCUUCAAAAACGAUUUUACCAUGAAAAUUCAAAAAAAACGAGAAAACAGAGAGAAAAAGACGUAAAUGAAGAAGAAGAAGAGGAAAACGAGGAAGAAGAACGUGCAGAAACGAAAGAAAAGGAGAAGAAGAAGAGUAAGAGGAAGAAGAACGUGCAGUAAGAAGAAUAAGAAGAAUUUCAGAAACCAUGAAAAUCGAAAAAAAAACGAAGAAGAAGAAGAAGAGAAAGAGGAAGAGGAAGAGGAAGAGGAAGAGGAAGAGGAAGAAGAAGAAGACGACGACGAAGGCGAAGAAGAAGAAGAGAAGAAGAAGAAGAAGAAGACGAAGAGGAACCGUUUGAGUGGGGCGCGUGUAGUUACGCUCCAUUCAAAAUGAGUUAAUGCGCGUGUUAAUGAAGUUUGGGUUGAUAACUUGUAAAACUUGUACCGCCUUUUACUUGUAUGUGUAGCAGGGCCCUUAUUUUUUUUACUAUCAUUAACAUUAACAAUCAUAGUCACUAUCCUUUUCUCUUAUUUUUUGUGCCAUACUAUUUUUUCUUUUAAAAAAUUUUUUGUAUUGUAAUUAAUUUUUCUUCUUAUGAUA